UCAUCAGAGAGGGCACGCACGCGCAUA
Molecule: small RNA, 27 nt
Filed under: Bombyx mori (domestic silkworm)
Lineage: Eukaryota; Metazoa; Arthropoda; Insecta; Lepidoptera; Bombycidae
Description: ovarian small RNA-26028
Source: RNAcentral